GUAGGUGAACCUGCGGAGGGAUCAUUACACAAAUAUGAAGGCGGGCUGGAACCUCUCGGGGUUACAGCCUUGCUGAAUUAUUCACCCUUGUCUUUUGCGUACUUCUUGUUUCCUUGGUGGGUUCGCCCACCACUAGGACAAACAUAAACCUUUUGUAAUUGCAAUCAGCGUCAGUAACAAAUUAAUAAUUACAACUUUCAACAACAGAUCUCUUGGUUCUGGCAUCGAUGAAGAACGCAGCGAAAUGCGAUAAGUAGUGUGAAUUGCAGAAUUCAGUGAAUCAUCGAAUCUUUGAACGCACAUUGCGCCCUUUGGUAUUCCAAAGGGCAUGCCUGUUCGAGCGUCAUUUGUACCCUCAAGCUUUGCUUGGUGUUGGGCGUCUUGUCUCUAGCUUUGCUGGAGACUCGCCUUAAAGUAAUUGGCAGCCGGCCUACUGGUUUCGGAGCGCAGCACAAGUCGCACUCUCUAUCAGCAAAGGUCUAGCAUCCAUUAAGCCUUUUUUUCAACUUUUGACCUCGGAUCAGGUAGGGAUACCCGCUGAACUUAAGC
RNAcentral lists this ribosomal RNA (549 nucleotides) under uncultured fungus. RNAcentral describes it as "eukaryotic LSU rRNA". The stretch from base 193 to 346 matches the Rfam family "5.8S ribosomal RNA". Lineage: Eukaryota; Fungi. The record is from RNAcentral.